This 380-nucleotide ribosomal RNA is filed under the name uncultured eukaryote. Its description in RNAcentral is "partial 18S ribosomal RNA". It matches the Rfam family "Eukaryotic small subunit ribosomal RNA", at positions 592 to 976 of the family's 1831-position model. The record is from RNAcentral.
CAAUAGCGUAUAUUAAAGUUGUUGCGGUUAAAAAGCUCGUAGUUGGAUUUCUGCCGAGGACGACCGGUCCGCCCUCCGGGUGAGUAUCUGGUUUGGCCUGGGCAUCUUCUUGGAGAACGUAGCUGCACUUGACUGUGUGGUGCGGUGUCCAGGACUUUUACUUUGAGGAAAUUAGAGUGUUUCAAGCAGGCACACGCCUUGAAUACAUUAGCAUGGAAUAAUAAGAUAGGACCUCGGUUCUAUUUUGUUGGUUUCUAGAGCUGAGGUAAUGAUUAAUAGGGAUAGUUGGGGGCAUUCGUAUUUAACUGUCAGAGGUGAAAUUCUUGGAUUUAUUAAAGACUAACAUCUGCGAAAGCAUUUGCCAAGGAUGUUUUCAUUAA